Molecule: ribosomal RNA, 2271 nt
Filed under: human gut metagenome
Description: bacterial LSU rRNA
Rfam family: Bacterial large subunit ribosomal RNA
Source: RNAcentral
CUGAAUGGGGAAACCUACUUGAGCAAACCUCAAGUAUCCAUACGUGAAUCCAUAGCGUAUGGAAGGGAACGUUGUGAACUGAAACAUCUAAGUAGCAAUAGGAGGAGAAAGAAAAAUCGAUUUCCUAAGUAGCGGCGAGCGAAAGGGAAAGAGGCCAAACCGAAGGACCUGGUUCUUCGGGGUUGUGGACUGCAUCAAGCGAUGGAGGCUAUGGUAGUCGAACUGUUUUGGGAAAGCAGACCAAAGACGGUGAAAGUCCGGUAGACGAAACCAGAAGACCCGCUGCAGGAUCCAGAGUACCACGGGACACGAGAAACCCUGUGGGAAGCCGGGGGGACCACCCCCCAAGCCUAAAUACUCCCCAGUGACCGAUAGUGAAGCAGUACUGUGAAGGAAAGGUGAAAAGAACCCCGGGAGGGGAGUGAAAAAGAACCUGAAACCUUGUGCUUACAAACAGUCAGAGGUCUUCGGACUGAUGGCGUACUUUUUGUAGAACGGUCCGGCGAGUUACUAAUGCCAGCGAGGUUAAGUGGUCAGAAGCCACGGAGCCGAAGGGAAACCAAGUCUGAAUAGGGCGUAAAGUUAGUAUUAGUAGACCCGAAACCGGGUGACCUAUCCAUGUCCAGGUUGAAGGAGCCGUAAAAGGCUUUGGAGGACCGAACACACAUCUGUUGAAAAAGGUGGUGAUGAGGUGUGGAUAGCGGAGAAAUUCCAAUCGAACUCGGAGAUAGCUGGUUCUCCUCGAAAUAGCUUUAGGGCUAGCCUCGAGAUGGAGUCUAACGGAGGUAAAGCACUGAACUGACGCGGGGCCCAAAAAGGUUACCAACUCAUAUCAAACUAAGAAUGCCGUCAAGAUACCCUCGGGAGUCAGUCUGCGUGAGAUAAGUCGCGUGGACAAAAGGGAAAGAGCCCAGACCGACAGCUAAGGUCCCAAAGUACGUGUUAAGUGGAAAAGGAUGUGGGAUUUCAUAGACAACUAGGAUGUUGGCUUAGAAGCAGCCAUACAUUUAAAGAGUGCGUAACAGCUCACUAGUCGAGAAAACCUGCGCCGAAAAUUUAACGGGGCUAAAACACGACACCGAAGCUACGGAUUUCCUACUAGGUAGGAAGUGGUAGAGGAGCAUCCUGCAAGGACGAAGCCAAAGUGAGAACGAUGGUGGACGAAACAGGAGAGAGAAUGCCGGAAUGAGUAGCGAGAUAGAAGUAAGAAACUUCUAGGCCGAAUAUCUAAGGUUUCCUGGGUAAAGCUAAUCUUCCCAGGGUUAGUCGGGGCCUAAGGCGAGGACGAAAGUCGUAGUCGAUGGAUAACAGGUUGAUAUUCCUGUACUACGUAUCAUCAGAACUGUGGGGACGCAGGAGGAUAGGAAAACCGGGGAAUGGAAAAACCCGGCCAAGUACAAAGUCAAGGGAGAUAGGCAAAUCCGUCUCUUGAUGAUGAAGUGCGAUGGGGACUGAAUAAAAGUAGGGAAGUUUCCGAAUCCACACUGUCGAGAAAAGCCGCUAUUGUGUGAUACGUACCCGUACCGUAAACCGACACAGGUAGAUGAGGAGAAAAUCCACAGGCCGACGGGAGAAGUGUUGUUAAGGAACUCGGCAAAAUGACCCCGUAACUUAGGGAGAAGGGGAGCCACGCAAGUGGCCGCAGAAAAGAGGCUCAAGCGACUGUUUAGCAAAAACACAGGUCUCUGCGAAACCGAAAGGUGAAGUAUAGGGGCUGACACCUGCCCGGUGCUGGAAGGUUAAAAGGAGAGGUUCGACGUAAGUCAAAGCUUUGAAUUCAAGCCCCAGUAAACGGCGGCCGUAACUAUAACGGUCCUAAGGUAGCGAAAUUCCUUGUCAGGUAAGUUCUGACCCGCACGAAAGGUGUAACGAUUUGAGCACUGUCUCGACAACACGCCCGGUGAAAUUGAAGAACCAGUGAAGAUACUGGUUACCCGCAACAGGACGGAAAGACCCCAUGGAGCUUUACUGCAGCCUGAUACUGGGAUUCGAUGAUAUAUGUACAGGAUAGGAGGGAGACUAGGAAUCCGGGACGCCAGUUUCGGAGGAGUCGACGGUGGGAUACCUCUCUUAUGUUAUUGGAUUUCUAACUUGGCACCGUUAUCCGGUGUGAGGACAAUGUCAGGCGGGCAGUUUGACUGGGGCGGUCGCCUCCUAAAAGGUAACGGAGGCGCUCGAAGGUCACCUCAGAAUGAUUGGAAACCAUUCAAAGAGUGUAAAGGCAAAAGGUGGCUUGACUGCGACACCGACGGGUGGAGCAGGUACGAAAGU